Meleagris gallopavo (turkey) is the source of this 1232-nucleotide non-coding RNA. The record is from RefSeq and is a predicted model, not a curated record. Lineage: Eukaryota; Metazoa; Chordata; Aves; Galliformes; Phasianidae.
CUGUUGUGUCAGACCUGAAACCUGUCUACUCCACACUCCUGGGUUUCUAUUACAUCAGUCUAAACUCCCUCCCACUUGGUUUGGACAGAUUAGAUGCUGAGCCAGCAAGUAUGAGAGCAGAGGUGGAGCUCUGAAAACAAACUCUGGUAACUCAGAUUUAAGAUUUGUAACAUCGAUUAACCAGUAGUGGUCUCUGCUCUUCAGCAUCCAGGGUUUUUCCACUCCAGUUCUCUAUGUGUGAUAUGUGAACUAUAUGGACAAGAUAAGGGCAUUGCUCAUCCAGAGUGUGACAGGCUGGCAUUAACCUGCCCAGAAUUUAAGUCUGAUGCUUUGUUUGGAUGAAUUAUAAAUCUGGUCUCUAAAAGCAUCUCAACAAGAAGACGAAGCCCUUCACUUUCCUCUAACAACAAUGUAGAGUAACGAAAUCUGACCCCUUGCAGGCUCAGUAAUGCAUAGUCAACACAGAAGCACGAGUGCGAUGUUACAGAGUGCUCUUGGAAGGAUGGAACAUGUUGUUCUUGUGCUCUGGUUACUAGGCUUUGGUGGUGGUGGUUUGGAUAUUAAAAAUCCAUUAACUCAAUAGCAAUGAUACUAAGAAGGUUUAUUCACUGCUUCUACCUGAACAUUCUGUAUAUUCUCCCUUGCUGCUUUCCCUCAGGCUGGCUGUUUGGCAGUGGAGGUAGUGGUAACAUUGCUGGUUCAGCACUGGUGUGGCUGACUGAGGAAAGCGCAAAUGACAAAUCUGGUCUGUGGAGAUCUAGUUUAGGCUUCUGCAUUGUUCUUUAAACUGGUGCUCCUUGACCUUAAUUUCAACUCAGAUCCAUGUGUGCUUUAAUUUAUUAUCCUCUAAAGUAGUGCUUAAGGAUUCAAUUGUGCACAUGGAGAGUGCUAGGAAAAAGCUGGGUUCAUUUGGAGAUGGAAAGCUGUGCUGAUAAUUUGCAGUUAAUGCUGCUCACAGGUGCUUGCAUUUGUGGAUUUUUAUUUUCUCUUAAUUGCACUAGAUGGCAGUGGAGGUGAAAGGGAUUUUCUGGGGUGCUGCCAACAGAAGCUGCUAAAUCUAAUGGCUGCAGACACGGGUUCUGGUUGUCCUCUUUAUGUUGUUAGACCCUAGGGAUCUAGCUGCUGAGCUGUACUGCCAGGUGGAAGAAUAGCACGUGCUUCUGGUUGGAGAGGGAACGUGGGUUGCAGCUCUGUGCCCAAACAGAGACAGUGCGUGGUGGCAGCCCCCAGUG